This 898-nucleotide long non-coding RNA is filed under the name Salmo salar (Atlantic salmon). RNAcentral describes it as "lncRNA (ENSSSAG00000114271.1)". The record is from RNAcentral. Lineage: Eukaryota; Metazoa; Chordata; Actinopteri; Salmoniformes; Salmonidae.
GUCUCCAGAGAUGGUGUGGAGAAGUGAGGAGGGAAUGGGGUUGAGUUGAUGAGGGAAGUUAGGAAGGGGAGGUCUCCAGAGAUGGUCUGGAGAAGGGAAGAGGGAAUGGGGUUGAGUUGAUGAGGGAAGUGAGGAAGGGGAGGUCUCCAGAGAUGGUCUAGAGAAGGGAGGAGGGGUUGAGUGGGCAGGUUGUCGGGCGGACGGACAUCACUAAUCGCAGGAUUUUAUCUGGAGUGAGAGGGGAGAAAGAGGUCAAGGCGUAUGGUAGUUAUGGAGAGAGAGGGGAGAAUGAGGUCAAGGCGUAUGGUAGUUAUGGAGAGAGAUGGGAGAAAGAGGUCAAGGCGUAUGGUAGUUAUGGAGAGAGAGGGGAGAAAGAGGUCAAGGCGUAUGGUAGUUAUGGAGAGAGAGGGGAGAAAGAGGUCAAGGCGUAUGGUAGUUAUGGAGAGAGAGGGGAGAAAGAGGUCAAGGCGUAUGGUAGUUAUGGAGAGAGAGGGGAGAAAGAGGUCAAGGCGUAUGGUAGUUAUGGAGAGAGAUGGGAGAAAGAGGUCAAGGCGUAUGGUAGUUAUGGAGAGAGAGGGGAGAAAGAGGUCAAGGUGUAUGGUAGUUAUGGAGAGAGAGGGGAGAAAGAGGUCAAGGUGUAUGGUAGUUAUGGAGAGAGAGGGGAGAACGAGGUCAAGGUGUAUGGUAGUUAUGUGUGAGUGGGACCAGUGGACUCAGUAGGCUGAGUGAAUGAGGAGCAGAUGCCCUCUAGUGACCACUAUUCCAACACUAUAGUCAAUUACUUUGGGCCAAAGUCUCCCAAAGCUGUCUAAUACAUCUGGUCUAAAGUAGUGCACUAGGAAGGGAACAGGGCUCUGGUCUAAAGUAGUGCACUAUGAAGGGAACAGGGCUCUGGUCU